Molecule: non-coding RNA, 458 nt
Organism: Ceratotherium simum simum (southern white rhinoceros)
Lineage: Eukaryota; Metazoa; Chordata; Mammalia; Perissodactyla; Rhinocerotidae
Source: RefSeq, a predicted model, not a curated record
AUAGAAUAUUCAAAAUGAAUACCAGUUUGAACUUAACUUUUUUAUUCAUCACUCAGAAUAAUUAAUUCUGAUAAAUUAAUACCAGUUGUUUAGGUACGGAUUGCUAUAUUUUGCUGAUGUUAACUUUAGGGAAGGAAAAAUCAUCUGUUACUCUUAAUUAUAUUGUUUGUUAGGUAACAUUUAGAACAACCAAGAACUUUUGAGCUAAUGCCAGAGACUAAAAAAUGCCAGAGUGUGAAACAGAGAGGAAGUCCUAUGGGCAUUUGAUGUAGAUAUUUUCACAUAAUAGAUUUACUCCUGAGAAAUCAUAUGGAUUAUAUUUUAAAAGCAUUAGGGAUUUCCAUAUGUCUGGUCCUUGACUUCAGUGCGUUGGACCUUUACAUAACUUUUACUUUUAUAUAUUGGUACCUCUAAAUGAUCUUUCAUAAAAGUCAAAUUUAGGCUUUCAAACUUCAGCU